GUGCGACUGUCUCGUGGGAGAAGGCUGCAGCCAAUAACACAACAGAUGAGGAAUCUGGCCAAUGUGAAAGGUGACAUCAUGGUAGCUGUUGGCUAGCAGCAGGAGCAAGCUACAAAUGGGAAGGGGUUACCAGACAAGCUUCCUUCUCGGAAUUUCCUGGACUCGGUCCUCGUUCCCUGCUCCCAGGACUUGAACUCACACCUACCAUGUUGGAAGUGCCCUGAGACUAUUGAUAAAACAGCCUGCAGUCCCUGGAGAUGUCACUCACCAUAGGACACUUAACCUGAAUGCACGAGGCCCUAGAGUCUGUCCCCAGUGCAAUAAAUUAAACAUAGCGUAUUAAAACAGGCAGUAAAUUGA
This 360-nucleotide long non-coding RNA is filed under the name Cricetulus griseus (Chinese hamster). RNAcentral describes it as "lncRNA (ENSCGRG00015042258.1)". Lineage: Eukaryota; Metazoa; Chordata; Mammalia; Rodentia; Cricetidae. The record is from RNAcentral.